Molecule: ribosomal RNA, 274 nt
Filed under: uncultured bacterium
Lineage: Bacteria
Description: partial 16S ribosomal RNA
Rfam family: Bacterial small subunit ribosomal RNA
Source: RNAcentral
CUACGGAGGGGGUUAGCGUUGUUCGGAAUUACUGGGCGUAAAGCGUACGUAGGCGGACUGGAAAGUUGGGGGUGAAAUCCCGGGGCUCAACCCCGGAACUGCCUCCAAAACUUCCAAUCUAGAGAUCGAGAGAGGUGAGUGGAAUUCCAAGUGUAGAGGUGAAAUUCGUAGAUAUUUGGAGGAACACCAGUGGCGAAGGCGGCUCACUGGCUCGAUACUGACGCUGAGGUGCGAAAGCGUGGGGAGCAAACAGGAUUAGAAACCCUAGUAGUCC